This 406-nucleotide unclassified non-coding RNA is filed under the name soil metagenome. Its description in RNAcentral is "partial contains 5.8S ribosomal RNA, internal transcribed spacer 2, and large subunit ribosomal RNA". The stretch from base 1 to 120 matches the Rfam family "5.8S ribosomal RNA", at positions 35 to 154 of the family's 154-position model. The record is from RNAcentral.
GAUGAAGAACGUAGCGAAUUGCGAUAAGUAAUGUGAAUUGCAGAAUUCAGUGAAUCAUCAAAUCUUUGAACGCAUAUUGCGCUUCCCGGUAUUCCGGGAAGCAUGCCUGUUUGAGAAUCGAUAAAUACAUCAUCUUUGUUUGUUUGUUCUUCGGAAUAUUCGAACAAGAUGGACUUGAGACAUUGGUGUUUCCAUGUCAUUAAAUCAAUCAAAGGUCCUAUUGCAUCGAUGAAGCUAGAUGGAGUGUAUUAAAGGUUUUAACUUACAAUCGCUUUGGACAGCUUUACUUGGUGUGAUUUGGAUCUGGGCCCUUUCGUUUGGAUGGUAUCUUUGAUAUCGGACAAACACUUGGUCUCAAAUCAGGUAGGAAAACCCGCUGAACUUAAGCAUAUCAAUAAGCGGAGGA